UGCCAGCCGCCGCGGUAAUACGGGGGGUGCAAGUGUUGUUCGGAAUCACUGGGCAUAAAGCGCACGUAGGCGGUUAAGUAAGUGUGAAGUGAAAGCCCACGGCUCACCCGUGGAACUGCUUUGCAUACUGCUUGACUAGAGGAAGGUAGGGGAGAGCAGAACUCUUGGAGGAGCGGUGAAAUGCGUAGAUAUCAAGAGGAAUACCAGUGGCGAAGGCGGCUCUCUGGUCCUUUUCUGACGCUGAGGUGCGAAAGCUAGGGUAGCGAACGGGAUUAGAUA
This 279-nucleotide ribosomal RNA is filed under the name uncultured bacterium. RNAcentral describes it as "partial 16S ribosomal RNA". It matches the Rfam family "Bacterial small subunit ribosomal RNA", at positions 506 to 784 of the family's 1533-position model. The record is from RNAcentral.